CAAGUCGAACGGCAGCACGGAGAGCUUGCUCUCUGGCGGCGAGUGGCGAACGGGUGAGUAAUAUAUCGGAACGUGUCCAAUAAUGGGGGAUAACGAGUCGAAAGAUUCGCUAAUACCGCAUACGCCCUACGGGGGAAAGCAGGGGAUCGUAAGACCUUGCGUUAAUGGAGCGGCCGAUAUCUGAUUAGCUAGUUGGUGAGGUAAAGGCUCACCAAGGCGACGAUCAGUAGCUGGUUUGAGAGAACGACCAGCCACACUGGAACUGAGACACGGUCCAGACUCCUACGGGAGGCAGCAGUGGGGAAUUUUGGACAAUGGGGGCAACCCUGAUCCAGCCAUUCCGCGUGAGUGAAGAAGGCCUUCGGGUUGUAAAGCUCUUUCGCAAGGGAAGAAAACUUAUGAUCGAAUAAAUCAUGAGGUUGACGGUACCUUGAUAAGAAGCACCGGCUAACUACGUGCCAGCAGCCGCGGUAAUACGUAGGGUGCGAGCGUUAAUCGGAAUUACUGGGCGUAAAGCGUGCGCAGGCGGUUUUGUAAGUCGGAUGUGAAAUCCCCGGGCUCAACCUGGGAACUGCGUUCGAAACUGCAAGGCUANAGUGUGUCAGAGGGGGGUAGAAUUCCACGUGUAGCAGUGAAAUGCGUAGAGAUGUUGGAGGAAUACAANUGGCGAAGGCAGCCCCCUGCGAUAACACUGACGCUCAUUGCACGAAAAGCGUGGGGGAGCAAACAGGAUUNAGAUACCCUGGGUUANUCCACGCCCCUUAAACGAUU
This 771-nucleotide ribosomal RNA is filed under the name uncultured bacterium. RNAcentral's name for it is "bacterial SSU rRNA". It matches the Rfam family "Bacterial small subunit ribosomal RNA", at positions 58 to 811 of the family's 1533-position model. The record is from RNAcentral.